CAGCAGCCGCGGGAAUACAGAGGGUGCGAGCGUUAAUCGGAUUUACUGGGCGUAAAGCGUGCGUAGGCGGCUAAUUGAGUCGGAUGUGAAAUCCCCGAGCUUAACUUGGGAAUUGCAUUCGAUACUGGGAAGCUAGAGUAUGGGAGAGGAUGGUAGAAUUCCAGGUGUAGCGGUGAAAUGCGUAGAGAUCUGGAGGAAUACCGAUGGCGAAGGCAGCCAUCUGGCCUAAUACUGACGCUGAGGUACGAAAGCAUGGGGAGCAAACAGGAUUAGAUACCCGCGUAGUCCCUGUCUCUUAUAC
RNAcentral lists this ribosomal RNA (301 nucleotides) under uncultured bacterium. RNAcentral's name for it is "partial 16S ribosomal RNA". It matches the Rfam family "Bacterial small subunit ribosomal RNA", at positions 509 to 807 of the family's 1533-position model. The record is from RNAcentral.